GACGAACGCUGGCGGCGUGCUUAACACAUGCAAGUCGAACGGAAAGGCCCUGCUUUUGUGGGGUGCUCGAGUGGCGAACGGGUGAGUAACACGUGAGUAACCUGCCCUUGACUUUGGGAUAACUUCAGGAAACUGGGGCUAAUACCGGAUAGGAGCUCCUGCUGCAUGGUGGGGGUUGGAAAGUUUCGGCGGUUGGGGAUGGACUCGCGGCUUAUCAGCUUGUUGGUGGGGUAGUGGCUUACCAAGGCUUUGACGGGUAGCCGGCCUGAGAGGGUGACCGGCCACAUUGGGACUGGGAUACGGCCCAGACUCCUACGGGAGGCAGCAGUGGGGAAUAUUGCACAAUGGGCGGAAGCCUGAUGUAGCAACGCCGCGUGCGGGAUGACGGCCUUCGGGUUGUAAACCGCUUUCGCCUGUGACGAAGCGUGAGUGACGGUAAUGGGUAAAGAAGCACCGGCUAACUACGUG
Molecule: ribosomal RNA, 468 nt
Filed under: uncultured bacterium
Lineage: Bacteria
Description: partial 16S ribosomal RNA
Rfam family: Bacterial small subunit ribosomal RNA
Source: RNAcentral